GAUGAACGCUGGCGGCGUGCCUAAUACAUGCAAGUCGAGCGAACAGACGAGGAGCCUGCUCCUUUGACGUUAGCGGCGGACGGGUGAGUAACACGUGGGUAACCUACCUAUAAGACUGGGAUAACUUCGGGAAACCGGAGCUAAUACCGGAUAAUAUUUCGAACCGCAUGGUUCGAUAGUAAAAGAUGGCUUUGCUAUCACUUAUAGAUGGACCUGCGCCGUAUUAGCUAGUUGGUAAGGUAACGGCUUACCAAGGCAACGAUACGUAGCCGACCUGAGAGGGUGAUCGGCCACACUGGAACUGAGACACGGUCCAGACUCCUACGGGAGGCAGCAGUAGGGAAUCUUCCGCAAUGGGCGAAAGCCUGACGGAGCAACGCCGCGUGAGUGAUGAAGGUCUUCGGAUCGUAAAACUCUGUUAUUAGGGAAGAACAAACGUGUAAGUAACUGUGCACGUCUUGACGGUACCUAAUCAGAAAGCCACGGCUAACUACGUG
This 497-nucleotide ribosomal RNA is filed under the name uncultured bacterium. Its description in RNAcentral is "partial 16S ribosomal RNA". It matches the Rfam family "Bacterial small subunit ribosomal RNA", at positions 28 to 507 of the family's 1533-position model. The record is from RNAcentral.